UCCCCCUUAGUUCAGUUGGUAGAACGGCGGACUGUUAAUCCGUAUGUCGCUGGUUCAAGUCCAGCAGGGGGAGCCA
RNAcentral lists this transfer RNA (76 nucleotides) under Veronia pacifica. RNAcentral describes it as "Enterovibrio pacificus tRNA-Asn". It matches the Rfam family "tRNA". From Rfam's summary of the family: Transfer RNA (tRNA) molecules are approximately 80 nucleotides in length. The record is from RNAcentral. RNAcentral also lists the same sequence under 9 other names. Lineage: Bacteria; Pseudomonadati; Pseudomonadota; Gammaproteobacteria; Vibrionales; Vibrionaceae.